UGCAGGGUGAGAUGGGAGGUGAUGGAGGUGGAGGAUCCAGAGGUGGGGGCGAUGGAGGUGGAGGAUCCAGAGGUGGGGGCGAUGGAGGUGGAGGAUCCAGAGGUGGGGGCGAUGGAGUUGGAGGAUCCAGAGGUGGGGGGGCGAUGGAGGCGGGCGGAUCUGGAAGACGACCUGGGUGGAGAUCGAGGAGAGAAUUCAAAACUGAAGGGUAACCUGGUCAUUUUGCUGCUUUUUCACCUGGUCGGGAAAAAUCCCCAGCGUCAUGUAUUUCGGAACGGAGGGAGUA
RNAcentral lists this long non-coding RNA (286 nucleotides) under Triticum aestivum (bread wheat). RNAcentral describes it as "long non-coding RNA (TAES_LNC027200)". The record is from RNAcentral. Lineage: Eukaryota; Viridiplantae; Streptophyta; Magnoliopsida; Poales; Poaceae.